CCCUUAGAUGUUCUGGGCCGCACGCGCGCUACACUGAUGCAUUCAACGAGUCUAAAACCUGCUCUGAUAGGGGUGGGUAAUCUUUUGAAUGUGCAUCGUGAUUGGGAUAGAUGAUUGCAAUUUUUCAUCUUCAACGAGGAAUGCCUAGUAAACGCAAGUCAUCAGCUUGCAUUGAUUACGUCCCUGCCCUUUGUACACACCGCCCGUCGCUCCUACCGAUUGAAUGAUCCGAUGAAUAUCAUGGAUUGAGGAUGCAAGCAGGUUCGCCUGUCUUCAUCUUCGAGAAGUGAAGUAAAUCUUAUCACUUAGAGGAAGGAGAAGUCGUAACA
RNAcentral lists this ribosomal RNA (329 nucleotides) under uncultured eukaryote. RNAcentral's name for it is "partial 18S ribosomal RNA". It matches the Rfam family "Eukaryotic small subunit ribosomal RNA", at positions 1470 to 1796 of the family's 1831-position model. The record is from RNAcentral.